RNAcentral lists this RNase P RNA (327 nucleotides) under Floccifex porci. RNAcentral describes it as "Bacterial RNase P class B". It matches the Rfam family "Bacterial RNase P class B". From Rfam's summary of the family: Ribonuclease P (RNase P) is a ubiquitous endoribonuclease, found in archaea, bacteria and eukarya as well as chloroplasts and mitochondria. Its best characterised activity is the generation of mature 5'-ends of tRNAs by cleaving the 5'-leader elements of precursor-tRNAs. Lineage: Bacteria; Bacillati; Bacillota; Erysipelotrichia; Erysipelotrichales; Erysipelotrichaceae. The record is from RNAcentral.
GACAGUCGCUGACAAUUUGUUAGAGGAAAGUCCAUGCUCGCACAAUCUGCGAUGAUUGUAGUGUUUGUGCUAGAUGAAUUAAUAAGUCUAGGCAAGAAAUUGACGGCUGUUCUUCGAUCUAAGGCAAUUAAGCUAAGAAAGAAGACUUUAAAAGUGCCACAGAGACGAGCUGGUAUGGAAACAUACCAGGUGGAACGGGUAAACCCCACAAGCGAGAAACCCAAAUUUGGUAGGGGAAUCAGCCAGAAUGAAAUGAAAGGAUGGCUGGAAGGUGAAAACCUUAGAUAAAUGACUGUCACUGGGAAACCAGAACAGAACAUGGCUUAU